AGUGGCGGACGGGUGAGUAACGCGUGGGUAACCUGCUCAUACAGGGGGAUAACAGUUAGAAAUGACUGCUAAUACCGCAUAAGACCACAGCACCGCAUGGUGCAGGGGUAAAAACUCCGGUGGUAUGAGAUGGACCCGCGUCUGAUUAGGUAGUUGGUGGGGUAACGGCCUACCAAGCCGACGAUCAGUAGCCGACCUGAGAGGGUGACCGGCCACAUUGGGACUGAGACACGGCCCAA
Molecule: ribosomal RNA, 239 nt
Filed under: uncultured bacterium
Lineage: Bacteria
Description: partial 16S ribosomal RNA
Rfam family: Bacterial small subunit ribosomal RNA
Source: RNAcentral